Non-coding RNA from Lolium perenne, 363 nucleotides. The record is from RefSeq and is a predicted model, not a curated record. Lineage: Eukaryota; Viridiplantae; Streptophyta; Magnoliopsida; Poales; Poaceae.
CACCUUCGCCCCGCAUGUCCGAGGCACGGUGAUCUUGAGUCUGCCGACGUGGACGGCCGGGUCGUCGGAGUAGGCGGCGAGGGCGGCGUCUAAGGCGUCGAGGAACGAGAUUCCGCCGCCCUCCACGCCACGAAUUAGGUCGUCACCAAAAACGAGAUCUGGGCUGCGAGCCCAGACGCGACGCCAGCGGCGGGAGAGCGCGCUGGUGCGCGCGGCGGCGGGGGUUGAGUGGAGGCGGCGGAGGAUGUCGUGCAGCAGCUCGUCAGGAAGGCCGCUGAUCCGGUCCUUCCCACCUCCGGGUUGCCGGCGGCGGUCCUCCAUCUCUGCAAUAGUUGUUCUCGACAGCAUUUGUGGGCGAUACUA